RNAcentral lists this non-coding RNA (73 nucleotides) under Hymenobacter sp. PAMC 26628. RNAcentral describes it as "Fluoride riboswitch aptamer (crcB RNA motif)". It matches the Rfam family "Fluoride riboswitch aptamer (crcB RNA motif)". Lineage: Bacteria; Pseudomonadati; Bacteroidota; Cytophagia; Cytophagales; Hymenobacteraceae. RNAcentral also lists the same sequence under 1 other name. The record is from Rfam by way of RNAcentral.
CCACCCAACGGUGAUGGAUUUCCACCGCGAACCGCCGGUGCUUGUGCGCCGCGCUGAUGAUUCCUACUGAACU